Molecule: ribosomal RNA, 497 nt
Filed under: uncultured bacterium
Lineage: Bacteria
Description: partial 16S ribosomal RNA
Rfam family: Bacterial small subunit ribosomal RNA
Source: RNAcentral
GAUGAACGCUGGCGGCGUGCCUAAUACAUGCAAGUCGAGCGAACGGACGAGGAGCUUGCUUCUUUGACGUUAGCGGCGGACGGGUGAGUAACACGUGUAUCACCUACCUAUCAUACUGGUAAAACUUCGGGAAACCGGCUCUAACACCGGAUAAUAUCUUGCACCGCAUGGUUCAAAAGUGAAAGACGGUCUUUCUGUCACUUCUAGAUGCAUCCGCGCUGCAUUAGCUAGUUGUUAAGGUAACGGCUUACCAAGGCAACGAUGCAUAGCCGAACUGAGAGGGUGGUCGGCCACACGAGAGCGUAGACGCGGACCAGGCGCCUACGGGAGGCAGCAGUAGGCAAUCGUCGGCAACAGGCGAAAGCAUGACGCAGCAGCGCCGCGUCAGUGAUGAAGGUCUUCGGAGCGUAAAACUCUGUUAUUAGGGAAGAACCUAUGUGGAAGUAACUGUAGAGAGCGUGACGGUACCUGAUCAGAAAGCCACGGCUAACUACGUG